Long non-coding RNA from Acyrthosiphon pisum (pea aphid), 1474 nucleotides. RefSeq lists it as uncharacterized. The record is from RefSeq and is a predicted model, not a curated record. The transcript is spliced from 6 exons. Lineage: Eukaryota; Metazoa; Arthropoda; Insecta; Hemiptera; Aphididae.
UAUCAUGAAUCUUCAUCACAGAUCGAUGUUUGGAUAUUAAUUUUUAUAUGAAUAAUUAUUUACGUAAAAAUAAUACGAAUUUAUUAUUUACGCGUUUCCAUUAUUUAAUAAGACACGGGAAUUGUGAUUGUGAUUGUUAUAAUUUCUUUUCGUGUUUUGUCUCUACCUACUUGAUUAUAAAUAUGAAACGGACAGCUACUCAAUCGUUAGUACUUAUAACAUUAGAAGUUUAUUAUUGCCUACUUGCGAUUUAUAACACCUAACGAACAUCGUCAAAAUGACGAACAAGAGAGGAGUGUAAAAAAGUCAAUACUAAGGGAGAAGAAACGACAAACAAUUAAUUAUUUUCGUGGUCGUCUAUAUGGUACAAAACCAUGUCGCAACUGUCAAAUUUCAAACUAUAAAUGGAAUAAACGACCUAGAAGUCUCGUGGAAUGAGUUAGUUAUACACAUCAACGAUAUUCGGAAUUCUGGUGCAAAGGAAAAAAAUAUAAAAUCCUAGAAAGAGUCAUGAAAUAUGUUCUGCUAUAGUCUAUUGAUCCUAUGAAAUCAAUCAAUUCAGAUGAUACUUGUUCAGUUAUACACAUCCAAGUUGAGUUGCCAUAGUCUAUUGGUCCUAUGAAAUUAACCAAUUCAGAUGAUACUAAUUGUUCAGUUAUACACAGCCAAGUUAAGUUGCCAUAGUCUAUUGGUCUUAUGAAAUCGACCAGCUCAGAUGAUAUCUGUCAAUUUAUACACAGUCGAGUUGAGCUUGUAUCUAUAAUAAAUCAUUCCUUUAGAAAAUGCAAAGGCUAUCUAAAAUAAAUCAAUUUUACUCAGCAAAAACACAUGACACCACGAAAACAAUUUUUAUAAAAGACAGUAGUGAAUCUGAAAAAACCGUUAUCCAUUGUAAAAAAGCAACAUUCAAUAACUGAACAUAAGGGUUCAGUUACCGCCCAGGUGUUCAGUCAGAGAGUUUAGCUUUUACUCUCUGAAUGGUCUAUUUAUGUGUGGCAACGAUAAAGGAAGCUCCAGGCACUGCAAAACUGUGUAUUUGUGAAUUAAAUUAUUUUACAGUGUUAAUAAUAGUUCCACAAUUAUUCAGCCUGGGAAAGAAUUGCGUAAUUCUGUGAUGUCCACAUCAAUGCUUUGGCAAUUCUGGAAGGAAACUCUGUUGGUUUUAGAAUGUGGUGAAUAUGAAUUUUGCAACCAGUAAAGUUCCAACCAUAAAAACCUGGAUAUCCACAAUAAAAUGUUUUGAAUAUUUAUGUAAAAAACUUUUAAAUAACGGUUCUAAAUUUGUAUCACUGCGCUCGUUUAAUCAAGACCCAGUGGAAAAUAUUUUUUUAUCUGUUAGGUCCGCAGUCAUGGUUUACGAAAUACAAUCGCAACUUAUUUCCAUUUUAAAAAUUUAUUUAAAUAACUUAUCAUCAAUAAUUUGAUUUCUUCUCAAUCUGUUGGUGCAAACUGUCAAAAAUAUAAUUGUGAUAAU